GCAGGACCCGUGGGGGAGCUCCCAGGCAAGAGUAAAGGUACCUGGCCCUGGGGUCCCAGUGGGUCGCUCACAGUGCCCCAGAUUCUCCUGUAAGUUCUCAAACGGGGAGAAGCCAGGGGGCUCAAGGGGAGCCUGCAGGGGAAGGGAGCCAUGGGCCUGCCCUAAGGGAAGGCCAUGCAGCUCAGAGAGGUGUAGCUCAGAGAGGGCAGAGCCCUUGGGCUGCCAGAGCACCAACUUCAGAUGGAUAUCCAGAUUUGUACAUGGGAUGGCCAAAAUCUGAAAGCACUGCAGGACUAGGAAACACAUGCUUGGAUUGACCCUGCCCCUGCCCCCAGGUUGCAAGCCCCGUGUAUGGGGGAGGUGGCUCAUGUUAAAAGCAGGCUUCCUAGUGACCCCAGCCCCAGCCAAGGCCUAGAGAGGAAAGCCCCAGGCAUCUGGGGAGCCAGAGGGAGGGUGUGUACUUCAUCACCCAAUAACACAGGGAAGUUGAGCUGUCAGGUAACCCAUGCGUACUUGCUUCUCAGAGGCCAGAUUUAUUUAUUUCAGGAGAUUUGAAGUUAAAAUGAGAUACCUUCCCUUCUCUGGCCCCAAGUCCUCUCGAGCAGCUUCCAUGUCCACUGAGGCAGUGCCUACAGGGAUCAGUGUGUAAUGAAGGAAAGACAGGAUGCAGAAAAUGAGCCUGAACUUGAAGUUGUUUGGGGUCCCACAUGGUGAGCCCCAGUGGGUGGCAAGUACCAUGGCCCUGCAGAGAGAUGGGCCUGCCCCAUAUCAAGUAUCACCUCGCCUCUCUGAGCCUCAGUUUCCUCGCCUAUAAAAUGGGCUUAAUAGGGGCUAGGGCUAUAGCUCAGGGUUAGAGCGCUUGCCUAGCACAUGUGAGGCACUGGGUUUGAUCCUCAGCACCACAUAAAACUAAACAAAUAAAAGAAAGGCAUUCUGUCCAUCUACAACUAUAAUUUUUUUUUAAUGGGCUUAAUAGUUCCGACUCACACAGCAGAUCUUCAGGAGUCAUUAGUGACUGCUAUGUUCCUGAGGACCAGUGGCCCAGGCUUCUGGCUCCUGUCACAGGUCACCUGUCUCUGGGGCAGCUCAGGAAUUUCUCUCUUGCAUCUCAAGUCAACUCUCGUUUGCUUUCCUUUUCCUUCUCAUGUUUAUGUUCUUUUCCUAGCAGCCUCUCUGAGCCCCUCCCCUGUGCCUACAGCCCUUGCCAGGCCUGAGAGGCAGGUCCCUGCUGUGAGAAGCUGCUGAAUGUCCCCUGUAAUGAAAGCAGCUGGGACAGUCUGUUGAAUGCCACCAGAGACUGGCAGCUCCUUACCUCUCUGACAGUAUUGUUGCAGAAAUUGUAGGUGAAACCUCCCAGGUAUCCAUGAGCCCUAACUGGGAGGACCAGAAGGGAGACAGGUCCCCACGCAGUGGCUCUGUGUCUGAGGCAUCUGGUUUUGCUGGAGAAACCAUAAUAUUGUAAGAAUGUCCUGAGAACUUGGUGAGGUACUGAUUUCAGUCUUCAGGAAAAGAAUCGCUAGUGAUGGAUGCAUGCUUUUAGAAAACCAGAACCCUGUUUCCCCUUUCUGCUCACCGCCAUUCAGCAAUGCCAAGGCCAUGUGGGUGACCCCACCCACCUCCUAACAAGCCGGCCUCUGUCCUUGAGGACAACAGACAUGUGCUUUGGUUUUCUGGGUUUAAACCCCUCCGGCUGCCAAUAUCUGAAAACCCGGAUAAAAUAUGAGAAGAAAAGGAAUCACUGAAGUGACAAACAAAGCUACUGCAAAAAGUGGGCCACUGCAUCCAGGAGACUGAAGAGCAAGACCCAGGCACAGAGGCCUGCAGUCUCCCCAGGCCGCCUGCAGACUUUGCAGGGCCCAGUGUAAGAUGAAAAUGUGUGGCCUUGUUCAAAAAUGACAAGCAGGUCGGGAUGAUGGCAGACAGCAGUGAGCUGCGCUCAGGCCCUCCUGGGCCUGGGGCCCUGGGUGGCAGCGUAGGUGAAAAGCCCGAAGCCAGCCUGCCCCCUGCACCUGUUCAAGCCAAGUGCUGAGGCCAGGGAGACCGGCGGGCGUCCUCAUGGCUCCUGGAGGAGCCCUGAUGGUUCUCUCCUGCUUGUGGUUCCAUCGUGGAGGCCCCAUGUAACCUGGGACAUUCUGAAUCCUCACAAAAAAAGAAAACCAUCUUUCUUUCCGUUUUUCCUUUUCUUUUCCUUUUCUUUCUUUUUUUAGAAAACCAUCUGUCAAUCACCUUUGAAACCAUGCUGGGCCAGCCCUGGGAACCUCGGCCGUGUCCAGGAGCACAUAGUGAUAGUGUUUCAACGUCAGCGUCUGAGCGUCUUGUUGUGUGUGGUUGACCUUCUGCUAGUUCUCUAACUGUUGAGCACAGACCUUUGCUUUCCUUGGAAGAUCCUGUUCCCCAAUUGACUCCAACACCUGCUCGCGUUCCCCUGGAGGCUUUCCUCAACCAACCCCUCAUUACACGCACAGAUUCCUCCCGAGCAUUUUCAGUUUUCCCUUCUAGAAACAGCACUGGAAGGACAUGUGUGCGCAUUUGUUUCCUAAGGGAGAAAACCAUGCUUUGGUGCUGCUGCUGCUUCUGGGUAUGGGAGAACUUUUAGUUCCAGAAGUUUCUUAGACUUGUCAGUGGAAUCCCAUUUUGCCCAAGGACUUCGGUCUUGACUCUCUUAUGCAGUUCUAGGGCUGCAGCCCUGGCAUCUGUAACCGGCCUCUUUGUGGAUGAGGACCUGGGCUCCCCGAAUAGCAGCCCUGGCCCGGGACCUCCAUGUGGACCACAGGAGAUUCUGCUGCCCUUACUGUAAGGAGGACAUGUGAGUGAUCGCUAUGCAGAUUAGCCGUGUGUCCUGCCAGACCAUAGACAGGAUUGAGAGUCCAUGAGUAGCAAGAUGGGCUGCCUGGACCACCAAGCCUGUCAGGCUGGCGCUGGAAUGAGAUAGCACUUGGCAUGGUGCCCACUCACGGGCUGCCCUCAGUAAAUGAAGAGGACAAGGACGUGGGCAAGGGGGUAAGAACUCUGUGGAGGGUCUGCCCACCUGGCAAAGGCUCCUCAGGACAGGGAUGAGGUGUGCUGGCCCCACAUAGACUCCAGGCCUCCCCCAGUGCCACCCAUGCAGAUGAGCCCUGUGAGCCAGGGGCUGUGUGGAGGGCUGUGUCCAUGCACCAUGCUCCUCCUGCUGAGGCAUCUGGGCAUGUUGGGGGGAGGGAAGGCCCACUGGAGUCCUGGGCUGCCAUGGCAACCUGCUGUUGAUGUACCAGCUUGAGCGACGCAAAUUUCUCCUUUUCUUUUUCAAUAUGGUGCUGGGGAUGGAGCCCGGGCCUUUUCUGAUGCUAAGUGUGCUCUAUCCCACUGAGCUGCACCUCGGGCUCUGAGUGUGUGUUUGUUAAUUACUUAUUAGUUAGGGAGGUCAGAGUCUGACGCGGUCUCUCUGGGCUCAGAUCAAGGGGCCGGCAGGGCCCGCUCCCUCCUGAGGUUCCAGGUGGGAUCCGUUGUCCUGCUUCUCCUGGUUCGGUGCCGCCUGCAUUCGUCGGCUUUCGGCCCCCCCCCCAUCCUGGAGCCAGCUGCCGCUUCUCACUCGUCCUCUGACCACAGCUGGGAAAGGUCUCGUGCUUUUCAGGAUCCGCGUGGUUAUGAGGUCACCCCCUGAAGGGUGAGGGAAAUGGAGACCUCAGCCCUGCUCAGGGGCCAGGCCCAGGGUCCUCCAACAGAUGCCCACCCUCCUUUCCCACCUGGGGUGGAGGGUCUUCGCCUGGAGGGGCCCCCCCGCUUGAAGACGGCCCCAGCUCAGUGACAGGAGAAGGGAGGGAGGAGGGAGCUGCUGCCUGGGCAGGACCUCCGCAUGUUGGUGCUGCUGGCCUAGGCUUCCUUCUCCUCCUCCCCAGACCCCGUGGCCUACAAGGUUAGUUUUCUCGUCUCUCAGGUCAAAAGCUGAAGCUCUCAGAGGAGCCGCAGUGUCCAAGGAGGAGACUUGCUUCUACAGAGAACCCGUGAAACCUUGUGGUUGGCAGAAAAGUAGGUGUGACUGGCACUGUCCCAUGACAGGAGGGCAGAGGUGCCGAGAUGUCAAUGGUCCCCGAGAGUCCUGGGGCACAGGCCUAGGCACUCACUGAUGGGCAGCUGAGAAGUGUCUGGAAUCACAUCUGUGGUUGUAAAGCUGGAGAAACAGCCUCAGAAAGGGGUAUUCAUUUUCCCGAAGACACACAGCUACUGGAGAGCUCUUCUGCUCUGACCUUCCACCUUGCCCCUGUGUCCUUCCCUGCAGGUGCACCGCACGCUCUGGAUCUGUGGGGCAGUCUGGGGGGAGGCUGGAUGGUCUGUUGUUAGAGCGCUUAGCUGUCCCUCUGGAAAGAAUCUUUCUCUAACAUGAAGUCACACCUAGACAGGGGCCAGGCAGUGCACAGUGUGGUGGUUAAAAGCUCCUGCAUGUGGAGCUGGGCCAUUCUGAGCUCAAAUCCUGAUGCCACCACCUGGGGUGCUCUUUGGCAUAUUGCUGACCUCUCUGUACUUAGGUUUUCCCAUCUGCAAAAUGGGGAUGAGAUGUUACAAGACUCCAGAGGACCCCUGGGAGGCCCUUGCUGGCAACAGACCCUGCCCAGAGCCCUCCCCUCCCACACAGCACUGCACAUACCCAAGGGAAGAUGGACACCUUCCCACCCCCAGCAUGGCCACAAAGAUUCAGGCUGAUUUCUAAACAAACUGCUGACCACUGUCCUUGGGCCUCACCAGGUGCAGGGCUCAAUGUCCUGGAUCAAUCUGGACUUGUUCUGGGGCUGGGGAGCUUCCAGUUAGAAGCCUGACUGGUCCCCACUUCUGCCCAUCACCAGGCAAAGGAUCUACGACCUUGGACAGGCUCUGUCCAGCCAGGAGCUGCUCUUGCUCCCCAACAUCAUGAGGCAGGACCGUGAGCACCACUGCCCUUCCUGUUUUUAUAGGUGGGUCAACUGAGGCCCAGAGACCCUAGAAAACUUGCCCGAGGCUGCACCCUGGCAAGGACAGGGCUGGACCUUGGUGGUGGCUAGACUCCAAGCCCAGGGCUGCAUGGAACCGCCUGCUCCCUCCAGGGACACGGCCUUUCCUCUCUCACUUAUCCAGUAGCCCUUGGUUCUCUCCAGACAGGCGGCAGCUCCUCCUGCCACACUGGCAGGACAGGCCUGCUGCUCUCGGGACAGAGGGGCCGUGAGAUGGCCAUAGGAGGAGGGGACCUGCAGCUUGCUCACAGAGGGCAGGUGUGCAUGGCAAAGGCGGAGGCUGAGCAGCUGGAAGUGUCCCUCCGCAGGGGUUUGGGCCACAGCACACAUUUUGGCCUGGGUGUGGCGAGCUGCUCUGAAUAAGAAAAUGAGAGAAUUUUCCAAGAGCAGCAUUUGGAGCUGGGGUAGCCUUUGAUAUGGGAGGGUGGGCCAGGGCAUGCACCCAAGGCUGGAGCCCGAAGAGGGCACCGUCGGUCAGUGUCCCCCUGAGCUGUCUGUGCCACGGCCGCCGCCUUGGGCCUGGCACUGGAGGAGUUAAGCUGCAGCAGGCACCUUGGCAUGUCGCACUGGCCAGAGUGUCCAGCGCCCCACCCCCACUGCUUUUUUCCUUUUUGCCUUUUCCUUCUUAAUUAAUCAUAGGCUGCUGCCCAAUUUAAAUAUGGAAAUGCCCAGGCUGGGCCAUGGGAUUAUUCAUGAGGCCAGGCCGGCUGUCCGGGGCACUGGGGCUACGGGGAGCAUCCGCAUCUCCUCCUUUCUGAUGUGUGUGAAAUUAUGUGCACAAAAAGGCGCCUCCUUAUCUGGGUGUGUGAACUAAAUAAAUAAAUAAGGGCUUUUGUUUGUUUGCCGGCUCCUGCACAUGACUGUUUUGACUGAACCGCUCGUGUUGUCUGCGCCUUUAUGGGACUCGGGAGACGGGGAGACGG
Molecule: long non-coding RNA, 5884 nt
Filed under: Marmota monax (woodchuck)
Lineage: Eukaryota; Metazoa; Chordata; Mammalia; Rodentia; Sciuridae
Source: RNAcentral